GGGGACGUAGCUCAGCUGGGAGAGCGCCUGCUUUGCAAGCAGGAAGCCAGGGGUUCGAAUCCCCUCGUCUCCACCA
RNAcentral lists this transfer RNA (76 nucleotides) under Thermosipho sp. 1070. RNAcentral's name for it is "tRNA-Ala". It matches the Rfam family "tRNA". From Rfam's summary of the family: Transfer RNA (tRNA) molecules are approximately 80 nucleotides in length. RNAcentral also lists the same sequence under 2 other names. Lineage: Bacteria; Thermotogati; Thermotogota; Thermotogae; Thermotogales; Fervidobacteriaceae. The record is from RNAcentral.